Long non-coding RNA from Coturnix japonica (Japanese quail), 2911 nucleotides. RefSeq lists it as uncharacterized. The record is from RefSeq and is a predicted model, not a curated record. Lineage: Eukaryota; Metazoa; Chordata; Aves; Galliformes; Phasianidae.
GGCUCGCAGGGUCGCACUCUGCCGUCGGGCCACCGCCGUGGCACUGCACCGCACGACGCUGGACACCGCGACCGCAGGACACCGAGCACUGCAGGAAGGGAUAGAGACAGAAAACCAGGACAACACUCAUCCUUAAGAUUUAUGCAUUUUGAAAGCAACCCAGAAGAAGGCAGAGCCCGAGGAAUGAAAGCAAAAAAAGCAAAGCAGCAGGCAACGAACAUCGGCAGCACAAAGAAAACAUCAACUCCUCCCAAACCCAGUUAUCAACUUCUAUCACAUCUACCAUGAAGCUGGUUGACAAACACUUGGUCUUGCAAAUAUGGCACCGUUUCCAAAAUUUCUAUCCUCUAUCCCUCUUCUACACAUCACUUGAACUUGAUACGGAGCCAGACUGUGACAUUUAUCUUGGCAUCCCACACCAAGAUGUGGCAGGUCUACAUUCACAUUUUGGCGCAUCUAGAGAUGGAGGCGUAAUUAGGCUAAUUUUGUUAAUACUGAAGAGUAAUUACCAAGAUGCUGGAAUUAAUCAUUUUGAUGUCUGCCUUUAAUAUACAUUACAGUGAGGCAGCUGCAUGUUUGGUUUCAUGCACAUGUGAGUUAUGAUCUCAUUUGCACUGAUAGAAAAGAGAGGUUGGAUAACCUGAUGUAAGCAAGUAUUAGAGACUGAAAAUUCCUUUGCAAAGAGCCUGCUUCGUAACUGCCUUCUAAUUCUUCUCAGGUACUUCCAGCUUUUACUUGGCACGUAGAUUUUAAGCAUAUGUGAGCCAUAUGCACAGAACAAUUCAAUAGCACACUUAUCUCAGUGCCACACGACUGAAUGCAGAGAUAUACCUCGCUGCUGCAGGCACCCCUUAGCCCUGACCCCAGGAAACUUUGCAUUUCAUUAGUAGGGUUCUUUCAUCGCUGGAAACGCUGCCACCCGCUCACAACUUCCAUCAAUAACAAUGCUGCAGUGAGGUAAGCCUUGACCUUGCAUUCUUUAAAGGUUUGAAAAGCGCAGACAAAAAACACUCCUUUCACAGACUCCUUUCUUUCCUUUCCCCCCACUCUGUAGAAAAUACUUCAAAGUUCCAGGGGGUGGAUGGGGGUCUCUCCCAUUCCAGGCUCUUUGUAGUCAAUAGAAAGACUCGUACUGGUAGAAUUGUCUCUGGAUGCAGCCCCGAACGUGUAGCCAAGGUACUGUAUUGCCUUUUCCACUGACCAGCUCCAUCAAAUCGAAGAUCACGUGCACUUGGACGUGCCAGUGAUCAACCUGUGUCUGCCAAAGUGCUUGGAAACAUGACUGCUGAAAAGCUGUUUCCAGCCUGUAGCAGAGGCAUGGCAACAAAUGUCAGCAUCCCUGGCUGGACAGCCACACUGGUGCUGGGAAACAACAGAUGGUGUUGUUUCUUAAAACAAACAGCAAACAAAACCCACAAAAACCCCAACCAGCCAACCAAAAAACCCAGAAAAACUGUGGUACGUAAAUUAAUAGAGAAACAGUAUUUCAAAAAAUAAGCCAUAGUCCUUAUGCUAUUGACACUGUAAACCUUCCUUUUGUUAUCACCUUCAUCUCCUAAAACCACUGCAAUCACACCUGGUGCUUCACAAAGAGAAUCCAAAUGAAAGGACCUUCCUAACAGCAUUAGGAUCAAAGUGUUUGAACACAGAUUUAAGGGAAUUAUGGUUAUUGCGUGAUUAGUUUUGUAAACACGCCAAGAGCCGUGGAUUGGCAUACUGCUGAUUUUCCCAAAUAAAUAUACCACGUAGCAUAAAUAAAUGCAACAAAAAGGAUUUAAAUGAAAACAAGAAAAAUAUUUCCAUAUCAGCUGUUUCUCGAAAGAUCAGAAUAUGAUGCUCAACAUCAAUGAAAGGAAACAAGCAGCACAGAGCUGCCAAAGAUGAUGGAGUGACUCUGCUUUCGUUACCUCUGAGCACUGGACACUCUGCUAAACAGGGGGCAGAAAAGCCAAAUGGUGGCAAGAAUCUGGGUGAGUUCUCCACCAAAAAGGAGAAGUUUCAGAAAAUGCUGUCAGACCACUUUCCCUCGUAUGGGCGAUUUGGGAGGUAUUUGAGGUAAUGAAUGCAAGCUGCGGUGAUCACCCAAUGAAUUCCCCCAGAUAGGUAUGCUCAGAUAGCUUGGGAAGGGCAGCAGAGGGGGCUGGGAAGAAUUAGCCUAAAAAUGUCUUUAUCAGAUUGUGCCAGGAGCAACUUUGCAGAGGAAAUUAAAAUCAAUCCCUGUAGGUUUAGAUUUCCACACGUUAAGGAUUAUGUGGAAAGUAAGUCCGCCUAAGUAAGCCCUCCUUCAUCCUUUCCAACAAUCUGAAUUGAAUCGUGUGCUGGAUGAAAUAAAACAGAAAAACAAUAUUGCUACAACAGACCUACGCACUCACAUCCCCUUUGCAUUAGGAGCUGUGCUCCUGGGUAUCAGCAAACCCUCCUCGGCCAGGAGAGAGUCACCACGGGCACCCCUGUAGAGACAUUUCAGCAUCCCCUUAGUGCACAUCAUCCCAUACGUACACUACAAAAACAGCCCUACGACAUCUGUUCGUCUGAAUUCCCUUCAGCACAAAGGGCACUGGAAGACACAUCACCACCACAAGUCAUAACAGCACCUUCUCCCCUCUUCCACCCACCCACAUCACCUACAAAGACUUCACCAGGUGCAGCAAUUAGCAGGGCCAUGAACACACAGAUCCUAUCCUAAAAGCUGCAUCCCUGCUCCAAGCUACAUAACCUAAACAGCAAACAAGCAAAAGCCACCAAAUAGUGAUGGCAGGACCCUCCAGUGAGGGAUGCGAUAGAUAAUUUUUCCUCAAAUGAGGAGGAAAUGUGCCAGAUACCCAAAGAAGCUGGUAUAGUGGGAUGUGGAAAAGGCUGAUUGGAGCCUAUUUUCCAUGCUGCGGCACUUUUAGGAAAGUAGCAAUUGAAG